UUUGUAGUUUAGUGGUAAAAUUUCAGGCUCAUUACCUGAAGGUCAAUGGUUCGAAUCCAUUCAAACCCA
This 69-nucleotide transfer RNA is filed under the name Myoviridae sp. ctNQV2. RNAcentral's name for it is "tRNA-Met". It matches the Rfam family "tRNA". Rfam says of the family: Transfer RNA (tRNA) molecules are approximately 80 nucleotides in length. Their secondary structure includes four short double-helical elements and three loops (D, anti-codon, and T loops). The record is from RNAcentral. Lineage: Duplodnaviria; Heunggongvirae; Uroviricota; Caudoviricetes.